RNAcentral lists this ribosomal RNA (464 nucleotides) under uncultured bacterium. RNAcentral describes it as "partial 16S ribosomal RNA". It matches the Rfam family "Bacterial small subunit ribosomal RNA", at positions 338 to 795 of the family's 1533-position model. The record is from RNAcentral.
CCUACGAGAGGCAGCAGUAGGGAAUUUUCGUCAAUGGGCGCAAGCCUGAACGAGCAAUGCCGCGUGAACGAGGAAGGUCUUCGGAUCGUAAAGUUCUGUUGAAGGGGAAAAAGAGCGGAGAGAGGAAAUGCUUUCUGAUUGAUAUUACCCUUCGAGGAAGUCACGGCUAACUACGUGCCAGCAGCCGCGGUAAUACGUAGGUGGCGGGCGUUAUCCGGAAUGAUGGGGCGUAAGGGGGGGGUAGGCGGCCUGCUAAGUCUGGAGUGAAAGGUACCGGCUCAACCGGUACAGGCUCUGGAAACUGGCGGGCUAGAGAGCAGGAGAGGGCGGUGGAACUCCAUGUGUAGCGGUAAAAUGCGUAGAUAUAUGGAAGAACACCAGUGGCGAAGGCGGCCGCCUGGCCUGUUACUGACGCUGAGGCACGAAAGCGUGGGGAGCAAAUAGGAUUAGAUACCCCAGUAGUC